RNAcentral lists this long non-coding RNA (1012 nucleotides) under Vigna radiata. RNAcentral describes it as "long non-coding RNA (VRAD_LNC015871)". The record is from RNAcentral. Lineage: Eukaryota; Viridiplantae; Streptophyta; Magnoliopsida; Fabales; Fabaceae.
AUGAAGCCUACAAAAAUAAGUCCUCACAAUAAAGGCGACCCACCAGAUUUGAGGACAAAUCCUUUCCAAGAGGGAGGGGAUGAUACGCGGGCCCCAAGCCCAAUAAAUAAAGAACAACCCAAAAUCAAGGAGAAGGGUAAAAGAGUCAUUCCCAUAAAGGGAGGGGGGUAAGCUUAGUGAUGAAUUGAUCUGCAUAAUGAAAAUACAUGUUUCACUUCAUUUUCAGCACGCUACAUAUGGCUUUCAUUACGUAAACGUGCUCCAUUGGGGUUAUUCUAGAAGCUAGCACAUGGCCGAGUGGAUGUACUAUAAAUCCACCAAGGCAGCUUCUGUAAAUCACUUUUGGAUAUUAAGAGAAAUGUAUGUUGAUGCCUUGUUCCAGCCUUUUCUCCACCGAAAGUCAUUCACCCAGUGCUUCUUCCAACUUCUCCUCUAGCUUCCUUCCAAUGNUGAAGGCCUUUUGAGCUAGCUCCACACCACUGAAAGCACCUCACGCAUCUCGCCGUUCAUUCUUCAAACAUCACUACUGCAUACAUCCAUUGCAUCUUUCCGUUUUCAUCAGCUGCUACUGUUUUCCACCUUCGGAGCUCACGGAUCUGUAAUAUAGCGCCAAGCAUGGAGUAGAUGCUGUUAGUAACAUCCAUCAGUAGAUGUUUAAUCACAUAACAUCCAUCAGUAAAUGUUAAUUUUUCUUGUCUUCAUUGGUAUCCCUAAGUAGACACCAAUCUUUCUCAUCUUCAUUGGCAUCCAUCAAUAGAUGCCUAAUCACCUAACAUCCAUCAGUAGAUGUCUAGUCACCAUCCUCUUCAAUAGCAGCAUCCAUGAGUAGAUGCUCUCUCAAACUCUUCUAGCAUCCAUCAGCAGAUGCAAAUCUUUCUCAUCAACAUCCUUCAGUAGAUGUUAAUCUUCCUCUUCUUCAUCAGCAUCCAUCAGUAGACGUUGUCAGUACUACCAUCAGAACCAGCGCAUAACCUAAGAAAAAAACCUCAAACACACAAAAACAAAAUCAAAU